RNAcentral lists this transfer RNA (75 nucleotides) under Scleropages formosus (Asian bonytongue). RNAcentral's name for it is "tRNA-Arg". The stretch from base 8 to 64 matches the Rfam family "tRNA", at positions 9 to 63 of the family's 71-position model. Rfam says of the family: Transfer RNA (tRNA) molecules are approximately 80 nucleotides in length. Their secondary structure includes four short double-helical elements and three loops (D, anti-codon, and T loops). The record is from RNAcentral. Lineage: Eukaryota; Metazoa; Chordata; Actinopteri; Osteoglossiformes; Osteoglossidae.
UCGAAUCACCCUAAUGGGUAAGGAACUGGCCUCCGAAGCCAGGGGUCGUUGGUUCGAGUCCCACGUCGGUUGGAA